This 116-nucleotide ribosomal RNA is filed under the name Microcebus murinus (gray mouse lemur). Lineage: Eukaryota; Metazoa; Chordata; Mammalia; Primates; Cheirogaleidae. The record is from RNAcentral.
GUCUAUGGCCAUACCCUCCUGAAUGUGCCAGAUCUCAUCUGAUCUUGAAGCUAAGCAGGGUCUGGCUUCAUUAGUACUUGGAUGGGAGAAAACAAAAAUCUUAAUGACAAAAGACA